RNAcentral lists this ribosomal RNA (254 nucleotides) under uncultured bacterium. RNAcentral's name for it is "partial 16S ribosomal RNA". It matches the Rfam family "Bacterial small subunit ribosomal RNA", at positions 524 to 776 of the family's 1533-position model. The record is from RNAcentral.
CACGUAGGGGGCAAGCGUUGUCCGGAUUUAUUGGGCGUAAAGAGCUCGUAGGCGGCUCAGUAAGUCAGGUGUGAAACCUCCAGGCUCAACCUGGAGACGCCACCUGAUACUGCUGUGGCUAGAGUCCGGUAGGGGAGCGUGGAAUUCCUGGUGUAGCGGUGAAAUGCGCAGAUAUCAGGAGGAACACCAGCGGCGAAGGCGGCGCUCUGGGCCGGUACUGACGCUGAGACGCGAAAGCGUGGGGAGCAAACAGG